GGAACGUUAUACUCAGCUGAGGUUCUAUCUAACUGCUCAGUGUAGACAUGAUUCCUAUCCUGGGGUUACUGUGCUUGGUGCACUGUGUACAAUAUGUCACAACACAAAUCUCAAUGAUGGAGUCUGGUCCUGGGACUGUGAAGCCAUCAGGGACUCUGGAAAUGACCUGUAAAGUGACCGGAGCCUCCCUCACUGACAGCACUAACAUGGAUGGUGUGCACUGGAUCCGACAAUGUGAAGGGAAACAGAUGGAGUGGUUGGCAGUAAUAUGGCAUGAUGCCAACACAGUGUAUGCCAGCACUCUUCAGGGACGACUGAUUCUGACCAGAGACACAAAUAAAAGAGAAGUGUUUUUAAAACUCACUGGAAUAAAACCUGAAGAAUCCGCAACAUAUUAUUGUGCAAGGAAUCCAUGCACAGUGUGUCAGAUAAAUUAG
This is a non-coding RNA of Rana temporaria (common frog), 437 nucleotides long. NCBI's taxonomy places the organism in Eukaryota, Metazoa, Chordata, Amphibia, Anura, Ranidae. The record is from the annotation of a RefSeq genome assembly.